UUCAAGAUCACUCUACUCCAUAACACAACCUGCAGAGGCAGACAUGGAAACGCAACUUCUACAAUAACUUUUCACCGAAAUUAGUAAUAAAAAUAAACUAUAACCAUAUACGUAUAGACAAAAAAAUCUGAUUUGGUUGUCCUUUUUUUCCUUUUAAACCAAAUAUUUGAUCUGCUUCAAAAAUUUAAAUAUUCUUGAUAAUCCACACUUACAAAAAUUGUUAUCGGUCGGGCCGAGUUAUGUGGGCUCUUGGCAUAGUUGACUUCUUGAUAUUGGUGAAAUAUGGUUAAAAUUUGUUAAAACUUCUAAUUCUCUUUCCAGAAAAAAGGCAAAAUAAAAUAUUGCAA
RNAcentral lists this long non-coding RNA (347 nucleotides) under Salvia miltiorrhiza (redroot sage). Its description in RNAcentral is "long non-coding RNA (SMIL_LNC009780)". The record is from RNAcentral. Lineage: Eukaryota; Viridiplantae; Streptophyta; Magnoliopsida; Lamiales; Lamiaceae.